This is a non-coding RNA of Acanthosepion pharaonis, 113 nucleotides long. The record is from the annotation of a GenBank genome assembly. NCBI's taxonomy places the organism in Eukaryota, Metazoa, Mollusca, Cephalopoda, Sepiida, Sepiidae.
UAUGGCCACAUCACAUUGAAACAUUGGUUUCCGUACGAUCAGCGAAGUUAAGCCACGUCGAGCUUUGUUAGUAACUAGAUGGGUGACCGCUUGGGAAUACCAGGUGCUGUAAG